AUGUGCACCGGUCUGCCCCCCAUCAGUGUGCACCAUUAUGUCCUAUACAUAUUCCUCGCCAAAAAAAUGUCCUAUACAUAUCAUGAUGUUAGGCAACUAUACUUCUCAAAGAACAUUUUUUUUACUGAAUAUAUCUUGUUUAUUGACCCGAGUGGUACUUGUGCCAUGUUUCUCCGGGAAUCAUAUCUACUAUGGUCCUUGGAAUAUUCUGUUUCCACGGGGCAAAAGUAUAUGAUGUACAUCAGUUCAUGUAUUUUUUGUAUUAUUGAUGCAUUGCUGUUGUUCCUUUUUCCUGAUUAG
This 300-nucleotide ribosomal RNA is filed under the name Triticum aestivum (bread wheat). RNAcentral's name for it is "partial small subunit ribosomal RNA". The record is from RNAcentral. Lineage: Eukaryota; Viridiplantae; Streptophyta; Magnoliopsida; Poales; Poaceae.